This 347-nucleotide ribosomal RNA is filed under the name uncultured bacterium. RNAcentral's name for it is "partial 16S ribosomal RNA". It matches the Rfam family "Bacterial small subunit ribosomal RNA", at positions 338 to 682 of the family's 1533-position model. The record is from RNAcentral.
CCUACGGGAGGCAGCAGUGAGGAAUAUUGGUCAAUGGACGAGAGUCUGAACCAGCCAAGUAGCGUGAAGGAUGACUGCCCUAUGGGUUGUAAACUUCUUUUAUAGGGGAAUAAAAUGUUCCACGUGUGGGAUUUUGUAUGUACCAUAUGAAUAAGGAUCGGCUAACUCCGUGCCAGCAGCCGCGGUAAUACGGAGGAUCCGAGCGUUAUCCGGAUUUAUUGGGUUUAAAGGGAGCGUAGGUGGAUUGUUAAGUCAGUUGUGAAAGUUUGUGGCUCAACCAUAAAAUUGCCGUUGAAACUGGAAGACUUGAUUGUGUUUGAGGUAGGCGGAAUGCGUGGUGUAGCGGU